UACGGGGGGGGCAAGCGUUGUUCGGAAUUACUGGGCGUAAAGGGCUCGUAGGCGGCCAACUAAGUCAGACGUGAAAUCCCUCGGCUUAACCGGGGAACUGCGUCUGAUACUGGAUGGCUUGAGUUUGGGAGAGGGAUGCGGAAUUCCAGGUGUAGCGGUGAAAUGCGUAGAUAUCAGGAGGAACACCGGUGGCGAAGGCGGAUCUCUGGGCCAUAACUGACGCUGAGGAGCGAAAGCAUGGGGAGCGAACAGG
Molecule: ribosomal RNA, 253 nt
Filed under: uncultured bacterium
Lineage: Bacteria
Description: partial 16S ribosomal RNA
Rfam family: Bacterial small subunit ribosomal RNA
Source: RNAcentral